Molecule: ribosomal RNA, 445 nt
Filed under: uncultured bacterium
Lineage: Bacteria
Description: partial 16S ribosomal RNA
Rfam family: Bacterial small subunit ribosomal RNA
Source: RNAcentral
GCCAGACUCCUACGGGAGGCAGCAGUGGGGAAUAUUGCACAAUGGGGGGAACCCUGAUGCAGCGACGCCGCGUGGGUGAAGAAGUCAUUCGUGACGUAAAGCCCUAUCAGCAGGGAAGAAAAUGACGGUACCUGACUAAGAAGCCCCGGCUAACUACGUGCCAGCAGCCGCGGUAAUACGUAGGGGGCAAGCGUUAUCCGGAUUUACUGGGUGUAAAGGGAGCGUAGGCGGGAAUGCAAGUUGGAAGUGAAAGGUAUGGGCUCAACCCAUGAACUGCUUUCAAAACUGUAUUUCUUGAGUGAAGUAGAGGCAGGCGGAAUUCCUAGUGUAGCGGUGAAAUGCGUAGAUAUUAGGAGGAACACCAGUGGCGAAGGCGGCCUGCUGGGCUUUAACUGACGCUGAGGCUCGAAAGCGUGGGUAGCAAACAGGAUUAGAUACCCCUGUA